This is a long non-coding RNA of Podarcis raffonei (Aeolian wall lizard), 622 nucleotides long. RefSeq lists it as uncharacterized. The record is from RefSeq and is a predicted model, not a curated record. The transcript has 2 exons. Lineage: Eukaryota; Metazoa; Chordata; Lepidosauria; Squamata; Lacertidae.
UGUACCUAUAGGUUGGCAAUUGGUGAUUGGUGGAGAAAUGUGUACCUACAGUAUAAGAAUGCCUGCCAAAUGCCAUGUAUUUACAGCCAGUCUUUCAGAAUUUAUUCUGCUGGUUGUCUCUGUGCACAGAUAAUAAACUGCUUUUCUCCAAAGAAGAUUUUGCUUUCCUGGUACUUUUGUUCCCUCCAAGGUCCGGGGAUGGCGUGGCUGAUGGAUCCCUAGGUAAAUAAGGCUUCAUUUCUUUGGGGGCUCGUCCGGGAUAAGCCCCCUCCCCAAAUACGGACCGGAGGGCCAGGCUCAACCAAGGUGAACAGCUCAGCAGCGUUUGCAGGCUUCAGCGCGCACCCCGCCUGUUUCGUGGGGGAAGCCGGCCACACUGUCCUGUAGUGGAGACAUCUUGUUGAGGGAGAAAAACAAAGAGGACGGCGCCGAGGGGACAGGUCCGCAGCGGAAAACGGUGGACCCAGGCUCGCACCCCAUGUGUGUUAACUGAACCGUUCCAUCAGUUCGAGCCAGGUGAUGAAGUGUGGGUGAAAGACUGGCAGCGAGCCCCCCUACAGCCUUGCUGGAAGGGACCAUACACUGUGCUACUUUCUACACCUACUGCUGUGAAGGUUGCUGG